Molecule: ribosomal RNA, 264 nt
Filed under: Licmophora paradoxa
Lineage: Eukaryota; Bacillariophyta; Fragilariophyceae; Licmophorales; Licmophoraceae
Description: partial Bacterial large subunit ribosomal RNA
Rfam family: Bacterial large subunit ribosomal RNA
Source: RNAcentral
CAUUCUCUAGGCGGCGAAGGUUUGCUGUGAGGCAUGCUGGAGCGUAGAGAAGCGCAAAUGUAGGCAUAAGUAACGAUAAUGCGGGUGAGAAACCCGCACACCGAUAGACUAAGGUUUCCCCGGCAAUGCUAAUCAGCCGGGGGUCAGUCAGGACCUAAGGCGAACCCGAAGGGGGUAGUCGAUGGCCAACGGGUUAAUAUUCCCGUACCACCUUUAUUUUCGAUGGAGUGACGGAGUAGUGAAAGCACCGCGUACUGACGGAAU